AUUGCAGUGCAGACACCAUUGGCCUCUCCUUAUAAAGGUCUCCCAGNNNNNNNNNNNNNNNNNNNNNNNNNNNNNNNNAACAGUCAAAAAUGCUCUUGAGAUUAAUGUUGCUGAUGCUUAUAGAAAGUAUUUGUAAUUGUUACCUAUGGUCACAAAUAGUAAAGGUAAAUCUGUGAGUAUAUGUCCAUGCCAUAGGGAUGAAAUGGGAAUGCACACUAUUCUUUUCUUGAGGAGUAAAUUUUUCAUUCAUGUUUCUGCAAGAGAGUAGGUUUUGGGAGUAAUGAGAAUGUUUUCAUUGAGAAGAAGGUUUUGUACUGGUCUAGAGUAAGUUGAUAUGUCUGCAUGUUGCAGUCCAUGUGGGAAUGCUAUGUAGGCUCUGAAGGUCGUAUAACUGUGGUUUUGACAAGCUCUUGGACAAAUGUAAUGAAAAGAACUUUUUAUUUAAUGUAAGUUGAAGAACUCAUUUUGGGAUUUUAUGGUAACUUUCUUUAUCCUCUGCACAGAGUAUGAAGUCUACAGUGUGUGUUUUUGUUUUUGUUUUUGUUUUUCCCCCUGCUGCUGUUGAAAUGGCUUGUUUAAAGAGCAUGAGAACUCUGACUUUUUCUGCUAAUGGGCUAAAAAAGGUUCCUCUCUGCCCAGCUCUCCAGCCUGUCCAGGUCUCGCUGAAUGGCAGCACAGAUUUCUGGUGUGUCAGUCACUAUUUCCAGCUUUGUAUCAUUGGUGUAUUUGUUGAGGGGAGGACUCUAUUCCUUUGUCCAGGUCAUUGAUGAAGAUAUUGAACAAUAAAAACAAAUAGCAAAAUAUUAUUGGAAAUUAAUCCAUUUCAUUCAUCAAAGUCUACAAGAUAAAAGAUAAAGUCAAUUCCUGGUGUAACUCUCCUGUGAGAUGCACCAGCCCUGCAGCAGGACGGUAUACACCGAGUACUAUCCUCUAACGUAGAGAAGACAACCUAACCAUGAGAAAUCUACCAGAGUUCCUGGAUAGUUUUUGAACAACAGAACUGAGGAAACAUUUGGUAUUUAAUUAAGAUUUAGCUCAUGGUUAAAGACACCAAACUGGCAAUUGUUUUAACACAUUAAGAUACUGCUGUAGAGGCAGGAGGGGGGAAUCCACUCCUCAGAACAGCACUGAGAGGGAAUAGAAAACUUUGCAUACCAUUACAGCCUGUCCUUCCAUUUUAUGUCCUACCCAAACUGACCAAAGAAAGAAAUCUCUUUGCUCCCCACAUCCCUUCAUUGCUCUUCCAAGGGAAGUCAUGGUGACUGAACCUCAUUAAUUUUCCAUGAUCUGAAUUUUUGUGUAGACCUGUGUAGUGCCAGGAGUUAGACUCGUUGAUCUGUAUGUGUCCCUUCCACCUCGGGAUAUUCUAUGAUUUCAUGACUCUAUGAUACCAAUUGGGCCUCCCAGAAGCAUGAAGUUGAGGCUCGUUUGGUGCUGUGCCAGUUUUUGCCAUAAAAGUUGGAGCAAAUGCUCCCUCAGUUUUACUGAAAGAAGGUGCAGAUAUUAUUAAUGCUUACACAUUGAAAUAAACUGUCAAUAUUUCACUGAAAGAUUGUUUUUACAAAGAACUUACGAUGUAAAAGGCCUUCUGUUAAAUCAUACAUUAAAAUAAAGCUUGCAUACAGUUCCCAUUUAUUAUGGUAAAAAUUGUGACAGAUGGAAAAACAUUAUUUCAUCAGAGAUUACAUUAAUGCAAUGUGUAUUUUUUUCAGUGACAGUAUGCUUGUACGCUUACUUUAUGGAUGGAAGAUAUUUAUUUAUAGCUGGCACAUAACUACACAACUAUUUACAUAUCUAACUGCCAUUGACAUGUCAAAAUACUAUUGUGUUUUUCUAUUGUGGUACAACUAGAACUUUCCCCAGACCUGGUAAAAAAAAUAUAAAAAAAUAUAAAAAAUAAUAAAAAAAUAAUAAAAAAAUAAAAAAGUAAACUGGUGCCCUUCAUUUUACUUAUAAGUCCUAAUUGUUUCAAAGCCUCAUGGAUCUCGUUCAAAACCUUAGGAAGAAGCUCAGUCCUUAUGCUAUUGUAGAAGGGAAAGAUCUAUUUCAGUCCAGGUAGAAAGAGAUUUCCAUUGCCCAGGAAAUAGCUCAUAAGCAGUUCCCAGGCUUUAAGAUAGCUAUCCAACUCUGGCCAGAACUCUUCGGUGCUCUAGUAUUAUAGGCAAAUAAAGAAACAGAAGUGUUAACAGCAAGGAAUUAGCACUUUCAAUGCUCCAUCAUCACCUCUCAUAGCUGCUAUCCAUAGGGAGAUAAUCAUUUAAACCAAUGAACUUCAUGACAUUUUGGUCCUCACAGUGCUUAAUCAACCUAAAUUGCACCUAGAAAAAAAAAAAAAGGGGGCGGGGGGGGCUUUGGCCACUGAGCACACAGGACCCAUUCCCACAGUAAUUGAGAGGAAUGACACAGACCUACUGCAUCAC
Molecule: long non-coding RNA, 2420 nt
Filed under: Cairina moschata (Muscovy duck)
Lineage: Eukaryota; Metazoa; Chordata; Aves; Anseriformes; Anatidae
Description: domestica (muscovy Duck (domestic type)) lncRNA (ENSCMMG00000002217.1)
Source: RNAcentral